UUAGCGACGGACUUUGUAUGUCGCUAAUCUUGCUUCAUUAAUGAGAGUAUAUUUACAUUUGUUGCAACGGAAUGUUUUUGUCGCUGGGUAUUUAGAAAAACAAAUUGGAUCAAAAUAAGUUUUGUUGUUAUCUUUACCUUGUUUUUCAUAAGACUAAAAAAUAAUUUCUCCCUCACAGAAGAAUACAGCAUGAGUAAUGAGCCCCUUUCCUCCUUCUCCUCCAAUCUUCCACUAAUCUUCCCAGAUGCGCUCCUAGAUCAUCUUUUUUCUAAAAGACAGCUUCAUUUCAGGAAAAGGAACGAAACAAUCCCAAAGCUUUCUGAUAGACUAGUUAAGGAAAAUGGAGAAUCUAGAGCGUGGUUGGAUGUAUGAGAAGCUGGAUGGACGAAGGGGUAUUAAUUCUGUGUGGAAAUGUUUUUCCACUUUACGUGUUCUCAACGAAAUCGCAUGAGUGGUGACAAUGUUAGAUGUCCGUAUAAAAAAUGUCACAACAUUAAAUACAUGGAUGUUGAAACCGUUAGAUUACACCUUUUGCAAUUUGGAUUUGUUCAGAAUUAUUUUAUUUGGAUAUAUCAAGGGGAAAGACGUCUAACUAAUGAGUUGUCUUCUA
Molecule: long non-coding RNA, 610 nt
Organism: Nicotiana tabacum (common tobacco)
Lineage: Eukaryota; Viridiplantae; Streptophyta; Magnoliopsida; Solanales; Solanaceae
Source: RefSeq, a predicted model, not a curated record